Molecule: transfer RNA, 73 nt
Filed under: Mustela putorius furo (domestic ferret)
Lineage: Eukaryota; Metazoa; Chordata; Mammalia; Carnivora; Mustelidae
Rfam family: tRNA
About the family: Transfer RNA (tRNA) molecules are approximately 80 nucleotides in length. Their secondary structure includes four short double-helical elements and three loops (D, anti-codon, and T loops).
Source: Rfam by way of RNAcentral
GCCUGGUUGGCUUAGUUCAUGGAGCAUGUUACUCUUGAUCUCAAGGUUGUGGGUUAGAGUCCCACAUUGGGUG